Molecule: ribosomal RNA, 486 nt
Filed under: uncultured bacterium
Lineage: Bacteria
Description: partial 16S ribosomal RNA
Rfam family: Bacterial small subunit ribosomal RNA
Source: RNAcentral
AUUGAACGCUGGCGGCAUGCUUUACACAUGCAAGUCGAGCGGCAGCGCGGGGGCAACCCUGGCGGCGAGCGGCGAACGGGUGAGUAAUGCAUCGGAACGUAUCCUCGAGUGGGGGAUAACCCAGCGAAAGUUGGGCUAAUACCGCAUGAGCUCUGAGGAGGAAAGCGGGGGACCUGCGAGGGCCUCGCGCUGGAGGAGCGGCCGAUGUCCGAUUAGCUAGUUGGUGGGGUAAAGGCUUACCAAGGCGACGAUCGGUAGCUGGUCUGAGAGGAUGAUCAGCCACACUGGGACUGAGACACGGACCAGACUCCUACGGGAGGCAGCAGUGGGGAAUUUUGGACAAAGGGGGCAACCCUGAUCCAGCCAUGCCGCGUGAGUGAAGAAGGCCUUCGGGUUGUAAAGCUCUUUCGGACGGAACGAAAUGGGCGGGACUAAUACUCCUGUCUGAUGACGGUACCGUAAGAAGAAGCACCGGCUAACUACGUG